AGUGUACUUGUUUUGGAUGGUCAGUAUAUACCAGAUGAAAGCACACUGUGCUCUGCCCCACCUGGAACACCCAACCCUGUUAGUGUGCUCUGCCUGCACAUCACCAGAGAUGUCAGCAAAGGGGAGCAAGUGAUGGUGGCUGCAAGUUUUAUUUUUAUUUGCAUUUUUGUGGACCUCAAGCAUGGAUCUGUAGCAGCAAUAUGUGAUGUCUUAACUUGUGAAUAUGCAUCUUCAAAAUGCGUCAGCAAGGCCAGAAGGAAAGUGGAAGGGGACCAAACUCAAGCUCCCUGAGGAAACUGAACAUCUACCAAUGCUUGGCCAGGAGAACACUGAAGGACCUGUGACAGAGGAAGGCUUGUUCUCAUGACUAGCUUCUCAAAAAGCCACUAAUAGUGCUGGCAAACAUCUGACCCAGGAAUAUCACUUCCAUUUUUCAGAUAUCCCUCUUCAAUUAAAGCUGAAUUCCCAGGAAAAUAAAAACUCAUGAAAUAUUUAAAUAGAUAUUUUAAUAGAGAAAGAAAUUCUUAGAAUAAUGAGUCAGGACAUUCCCAGUGGUCCUCUCAUAUUUGCUACCGUAGGUCCUGUGUGGGUGCUAGUGGUUUUGUGCAACAGCUUCCUAGAUUAUGCCUGAUUAAAUGUGCAAGAGAUGAUCUGUAGGUUCAAAGAGCCUAUAGAGCCCAAAGAGACUGUAUUCAGCAUGGUGGCCAGGAGGGUCUCUGAAUUCCCUCUUCUUCACCCAGGAAUGAGAUAUAAGCUGUGAUACAAGUUUUGAACCGAAAAGGUUUUCCUCCCAUCCAGCUUCAAAAGUACCUGAUUUGUACAUGUGACCUAAUAAACAUCCUCUUAUUUGUCUGGCUUUUGCAAAAAUUAGAAAUACCCAAUUUUCCCACUUAGAUGUCCCACAGUGAGUCACUUUUGCACCAAAAAUUCCCAAACCUUUGCUUUCUCAUGUUGCUUCUGGUUUUCACUUGGUCUUCAAAAGAAGGAAAACUGACUAUACUUGUACUUUAUAGCUUAUGGCCACAACGGCAUCCGAGCAGUUCUCUCCCCCACUCUGGUGCGCUCUCAGCAGCAGAAAGCUCAUAAGAAUCCAGCAACCACCACAUCUAAAUCCAACAUCUGGCUCCAGUCAGCUUCAGACAUGAACCUAAACACCACUCUAUCUUAUCAUCCUUUUUUUGCUUUAUCUUCCCAGUGUGACAGGAGUUUCAUCUCUUUAAAUAUACACAUUCCCUGUCUUUAAAUACCAAGUCUCAUCUGGCCUAGCUAUAAUUAAACCAUAUUAGAGUAACUUAAUUUCAUUUCACAAAUAGCCUAUAGAGUACAAAAAAAAUUGCACAAAUUAAUGAGUGGCUCUUUGUAUUGAUUUCAUUUAUUCCUGUUGUCUGGCCUUAAACAGGAUUAUGACUUGAAAAGUCAGGGUAAACUGUAGAUAAAAUUUUUGAUUGCCCAACACUGGAAGGGUUAGAAAACUGUAAACACAUAGUCUGAAAAAGAUAUUUACUACUUUACUUCAAGAGCCUCCAUUAUUCAGUUCACAGGUCCCUUAAGUCCAUGUUAUCUAACAAGUUAUCCUCAACAUACUGGCAACACAUUAAUGGAAAUGUUACAUUUAGUCAAAAUUUGUAAAAUUCUUACAGAUAAGU
Poecile atricapillus (Black-capped chickadee) is the source of this 1646-nucleotide long non-coding RNA. RefSeq lists it as uncharacterized. NCBI's taxonomy places the organism in Eukaryota, Metazoa, Chordata, Aves, Passeriformes, Paridae. The record is from RefSeq and is a predicted model, not a curated record. The transcript has 3 exons.